UGCAGUCGAGCGGUAGAGAGAAGCUUGCUUCUCUUGAGAGCGGCGGACGGGUGAGUAAUGCCUAGGAAUCUGCCUGGUAGUGGGGGAUAACGUUCGGAAACGGACGCUAAUACCGCAUACGUCCUACGGGAGAAAGCAGGGGACCUUCGGGCCUUGCGCUAUCAGAUGAGCCUAGGUCGGAUUAGCUAGUUGGUGGGGUAAUGGCUCACCAAGGCGACGAUCCGUAACUGGUCUGAGAGGAUGAUCAGUCACACUGGAACUGAGACACGGUCCAGACUCCUACGGGAGGCAGCAGUGGGGAAUAUUGGACAAUGGGCGAAAGCCUGAUCCAGCCAUGCCGCGUGUGUGAAGAAGGUCUUCGGAUUGUAAAGCACUUUAAGUUGGGAGGAAGGGUUGUAGAUUAAUACUCUGCAAUUUUGACGUUACCGACAGAAUAAGCACCGGCUAACUCUGUGCCAGCAGCCGCGGUAAUACAGAGGGUGCAAGCGUUAAUCGGAAUUACUGGGCGUAAAGCGCGCGUAGGUGGUUUGUUAAGUUGGAUGUGAAAUCCCCGGGCUCAACCUGGGAACUGCAUUCAAAACUGACUGACUAGAGUAUGGUAGAGGGUGGUGGAAUUUCCUGUGUAGCGGUGAAAUGCGUAGAUAUAGGAAGGAACACCAGUGGCGAAGGCGACCACCUGGACUAAUACUGACACUGAGGUGCGAAAGCGUGGGGAGCAAACAGGAUUAGAUACCCUGGUAGUCCACGCCGUAACGAUGUCAACUAGCCGUUGGAAGCCUUGAGCUUUUAGUGGCGCAGCUACGCAUUAAGUUGACCGCCUGGGGAGUACGGCCGCAAGGUUAAAACUCAAAUGAAUUGACGGGGGCCCGCACAAGCGGUGGAGCAUGUGGUUUAAUUCGAAGCAACGCGAGAACCUUACCAGCCUUGACAUCCAAUGAACUUUCUAGAGAUAGAUUGGUGCCUUCGGGACAUUGAGACAGUGCUGCAUGGCUGUCGUC
This 998-nucleotide ribosomal RNA is filed under the name Pseudomonas sp. NCCP-1808. RNAcentral's name for it is "bacterial SSU rRNA". It matches the Rfam family "Bacterial small subunit ribosomal RNA", at positions 56 to 1056 of the family's 1533-position model. The record is from RNAcentral. Lineage: Bacteria; Pseudomonadati; Pseudomonadota; Gammaproteobacteria; Pseudomonadales; Pseudomonadaceae.